This is a long non-coding RNA of Platichthys flesus (European flounder), 1493 nucleotides long. RefSeq lists it as uncharacterized. The record is from RefSeq and is a predicted model, not a curated record. The transcript has 2 exons. Lineage: Eukaryota; Metazoa; Chordata; Actinopteri; Pleuronectiformes; Pleuronectidae.
UUGAGGAUGACAUCACCAUGGCAAUGGUGCUCACUGACAGCCUGAGAGGGAAUGCUGCUCUGGGAUAGGCUGACGAUGGACAACACCCACCAUCUCCACACACGCAGCAUCCAAUCAAAAGGACCGUUAGUGAAUUAGACACGGGGUUAAUUUGUGGUACAUCACAGAGACACAGGAGCUCAGUGCAGAAUGCCUCUGGGUAUCUCUCCACUCAUCCUCUUCACACAGUUGGCAAGGACAGUAAAUAGAAGGCUGGAGGUGUGUUGGUGUGUGUGUGUGUGUGUGUGUGUGUGUGUGUGUGUGUGUGUGUGUGUGUGUGUGUGUGUGUGUGUGUGUGUGUGUGUGUGUGUGUGUGUGUGUGUGUGUGUGUGUGUGUGUGUGUGUGUGUGUGUGUGUGUGUGUGUGGUGUGAUGGAUGCUGGAAGGUGGAAGAACAAGGGAAUGACAGCUAGAAAGAGGAGACAGUCGGAUAGAGCAAGGUGGAAGUGGAGCGGGAAAAGAAAGAAGGAAACCUUGAAAUGCUGUUAUUAUACAAAAAUUGAGGCCACUGUGACACUGUGGAAGAGCCAACACACAGGACUCUGGGUUCAGGGUUGCCUGGCAGAAAAGACUGAGCAUGGCUCAACUUCUACUUCUCAUUCUCAUUUCAGGUAUCUCCUAUCUGUAUAACAUCAUAUUAAGAUUUAAGACACUUUGAUUUAAAACCAAUGUUAAAUGAUUUUGUAUCACCAGUCUAAUUAUACUCUGCUGAUAAGAGGGGAAAAGAUGGGUGUGACGGUCGUCUCUUCUUGCCUCAAUGGUUCAUUAUCAGAUUGAUAGUCACAGUGAAAUAAUCGCAUUUCCCAGUAAAUAAAAACACAAGCUGUCAAAAUGUCCAGGCUGUAAUACACAAAGUGAAGCUCGCCCCCCCUAUUUGGAAAAUAUUUGGCCCAUUGUUGACAGCUUCAAACCGUAAAUAUCCUUCUCAGUUUUAUGAAAAAGUGCUACUGUUUAGGGAAAAACUGUUUCAAAGUUCACCGCUUUGAAACAGUUUGGUGCACUGGUUUUUUGUUUCUCUGUAACUCACUCUGUCUCUAUGUAUGUAAUUAAAGCAUUGGCCCUGGGGCCAAUUCCCUGCGGUGCAGGUCGGUGGACAGCCUUCUGAUGCCAUUAAGCACAGAUGGCAAAUUGUUUUCUAGGAAUCGCUCCUCCUCUCCCUUUGUGCUCUCUGAUUGUGUGCAAGUGUUGCAGGGAGAGGCAGAGACAUAAAGCCAGCAGAGUCCACACAAUUCUGAAAUCAAUUCCACUGAUUCUCACUGUAGACAGAAAGACAGACAGAGAAGCAGGCAGACAGGUUCAAUGAACUCAACCAAACUGCAAUAAAAUACUUUUUACCAGACAAAUAAAUGAUUGUGAAUUGUUUUUAUGCUAUUGCAGUAUUGUUAAUAUGUCUGUAUGAUAAAUAGAUACGUCCAAUGUGACUGGCUUAUGUGUGUCUAUAAAAUGUAUAUAAUA